This 1187-nucleotide long non-coding RNA is filed under the name Felis catus (domestic cat). RNAcentral describes it as "lncRNA (ENSFCAG00000051323.1)". Lineage: Eukaryota; Metazoa; Chordata; Mammalia; Carnivora; Felidae. The record is from RNAcentral.
GGAUAGAUAGAUAGAUAAACAACCUUUGUCGAAACCAUUUUCAUUGUUGUAUAAUAUUUUAUUAUAUGUUUAUAGCAGAAUUAUGUAUUCUUUUCACUGGAAACACAUUGUUAUACUUACCGAAGCAUCGGUUAUAUCACUAGAAGAACUGCCUUCAUUUCUGAGUGCCACAUUCUGCAUGGGAUAAUAACAAACUGAAACUCACUUUGGGAAGGGCAAACCAGGACAGAUAAUAGACUCAAAUCAUUUCUCAUGAAGGUCCAUGGAAGGAACUGGAAUGAUUAAUCAAGAGACGAGAAGCUUCAGGACAUACAUGGAAGAUAUCUUCAAAGACAGAAUGUACAAUCACCUUGAAGAGAAAUUAAUCUUAUUGUAUUUUUCCCCAAGGUGUUGAACUGAGGCAAAUGGAUCCAAACAAUUUCAACGGGUAAAGUGCUGCAGUGACCUCACCUCUCUGUGUGUCCUUUUCCUCGAAGAUCUGGAACCUGAUAAUCUUCGAUCUUAGUAGUGCUCCAAAGUCUUCAAACAAAUGUUUCCUUAAAAUACAUUCAUCAAAAACCAUGGAUGUGUUCAUGGAUUUCUUGCCUAUGGUUCAGCCCAGGACUUAUUUUCAUCCAUCCUCUUCAAAGCAGGGAAUACAUGAAACUUUUCGGAACACCUAGAAGCCAAGAACAUGAAUGGAGUUUUCAGUUCAAUCCCAAGUAUGAAUUUAUCGAACUCCAUCUUUAAAGCCGGAUGAAUCUCUCGGCUGCCCUCUUCAUCAGAACUUCAGGUUAGGAGCUGUGGAUCCAGAAUCACCUUCUCCACACAGUUCCACGUCAGCAUUGCCACGAAAAGAACUCUCACGACAUUUGGAGAAUGGAGAUUGAAGCAGAAGCCACAAACUGGGGAGGUCAUGAAGGUGAGACACAAUGGCUUCAUAAACCUCUCCAUGAGCUCCUAGCUUGACCCCUAGACGUGGCGGUUCCUCAGACUCUCCAGUGAGCACUGGUUUCCCUACCUGCCUCACUGCUUCAGGCAGAAGUCAUCUGUGGCUGUUUCUGCCAUCCUCUGCCUGCAGCCUUCUAGACCUCUCUCCCUCAGCUCCUCUGACAAUCGCAGAAGCCCCGAUUCCUGUCAAGCUUGCAAAGGCUCUCUUGUCCUGACUAAAUUCAGGUUGAGACACGAGGCUCAAAUGACAAUACAUG